AUACGGAGGGUGCAAGCGUUACUCGGAAUCACUGGGCGUAAAGCGCGCGCAGGCGGCCAUUUAAGUUGGAUGUGAAAGCCUACGGCUCAACCGUAGAACUGCAUCCAAAACUAUUUGGCUAGAGAGUGGGAGAGGAAGAUGGAAUUAGUUGUGUAGGGGUAAAAUCCGUAGAGAUAACUAGGAAUACCAAAAGCGAAGGCAAUCUUCUGGAACACUACUGACGCUGAGGCGCGAAAGCGUGGGGAGCAAACGGGAUUAGAAACCCUAGUAGUCC
Molecule: ribosomal RNA, 274 nt
Filed under: uncultured bacterium
Lineage: Bacteria
Description: partial 16S ribosomal RNA
Rfam family: Bacterial small subunit ribosomal RNA
Source: RNAcentral